ACGGGGCACCCGGGACCUCCGGCGGCCGACCCGCGAGCCUCUUAAAGGGGCCGCGCCGGCCUGCGGGGCCCACGGCGGGGCCGGGUAGGGGCGUGAGGGAGGGGUGCGACGCCCGUCGCGUCCACUCACAAACGUUUCGAGGAACAGGGGACCCCAACAGAGCGGGCCAGACCGGCGCGUAGCCUAAGUCCCGGCGAUCGGAAAAGCAC
This is a long non-coding RNA of Herpailurus yagouaroundi (jaguarundi), 209 nucleotides long. RefSeq lists it as uncharacterized. The transcript is spliced from 3 exons. The record is from RefSeq and is a predicted model, not a curated record. NCBI's taxonomy places the organism in Eukaryota, Metazoa, Chordata, Mammalia, Carnivora, Felidae.